RNAcentral lists this ribosomal RNA (553 nucleotides) under uncultured bacterium. RNAcentral describes it as "bacterial SSU rRNA". It matches the Rfam family "Bacterial small subunit ribosomal RNA", at positions 106 to 677 of the family's 1533-position model. The record is from RNAcentral.
GUGAGUAAACUAUAGUUAAUGUACCCCAAAGUACUGGGAUAGCCACUGGAAACGGUGAUUAAUACUAGAUACACCUUCUUAUCAUAAGGUAAGAAGGGAAAUGUCUUUUCGCUUUGGGAUCAGACUAUAUCCUAUCAGCUAGUUGGUGAGGUAAUGGCUCACCAAGGCAAUGACGGGUAGCGGUUCUGAGAGGAUGAUCCGCCACACUGGUACUGAGACACGGACCAGACUCCUACGGGAGGCAGCAGUGAGGAAUAUUGCACAAUGGGCGAAAGCCUGAUGCAGCAACGCCGCGUGGAGGAUGACGCAUUUCGGUGUGUAAACUCCUUUUAUAUGUCAAGAAAAUGACGGUAGCAUAUGAAUAAGCACCGGCUAACUCCGUGCCAGCAGCCGCGGUAAUACGGAGGGUGCAAGCGUUACUCGGAAUCACUGGGCGUAAAGGACGCGUAGGCUGUUUAGCAAGUCGGAUGUGAAAUCCAAUGGCUCAACCAUUGAACUGCAUUUGAAACUGCUAGACUAGAGUAUGGGAGGGGGAGAUGGAAUUAGUGGUGUA